RNAcentral lists this ribosomal RNA (253 nucleotides) under uncultured bacterium. RNAcentral's name for it is "partial 16S ribosomal RNA". It matches the Rfam family "Bacterial small subunit ribosomal RNA", at positions 524 to 776 of the family's 1533-position model. The record is from RNAcentral.
UACGUAGGGUGCAAGCGUUAAUCGGAAUUACUGGGCGUAAAGCGUGCGCAGGUGGUGAUGUAAGACAGUUGUGAAAUCCCCGGGCUCAACCUGGGAACUGCAUCUGUGACUGCAUUGCUGGAGUGCGGCAGAGGGGGAUGGAAUUCCGCGUGUAGCAGUGAAAUGCGUAGAUAUGCGGAGGAACACCGAUGGCGAAGGCAAUCCCCUGGGCCUGCACUGACGCUCAUGCACGAAAGCGUGGGGAGCAAACAGG